Molecule: RNA transcript, 1238 nt
Organism: Cyanidioschyzon merolae strain 10D
Lineage: Eukaryota; Rhodophyta; Bangiophyceae; Cyanidiales; Cyanidiaceae
Exons: 1
Source: RefSeq, a predicted model, not a curated record
AAACGCAGUGUACGCACGGGAAUAGCGCAGAAGGAUGCGGAGCUAGCCAGGGUUGCUUAUUUUUGGUUUUGUGUUCGGUGCUUCUGGAACCCCAUACGCUGGAUGAGUGUAAACGCGUCCACCGGUGCUUCCCAAAGCGCAGUAUACAUACGAGAAUAGCGCAGAAGUAUGCGGAGCUAGGCAGGGGUGCUUAUUUUUGGUUUUGUGUUCGGUGCUUCUGGAACCCCAUACGCUGGAUGAGUGUAAACGCGUCCACCGGUGCUUCUCUAAACGCAGUGUACGCACGGGAAUAGCGCAGAAGGAUGCGGAGCUAGCCAGGGGUGCUUAUUUUUGGUUUUGAGUGCGGUGCUUCUGGAACCCCAUACGCUGGAUGAGUGUAAACGCGUCCACCGGUGCUUCCCAAAGCGCAGUGUACGCACGGGAAUAGCGCAGAAGUAUGCGGAGCUAGCCAGGGGUGCUUAUUUGGGGUUUGUGUUCGGUGCUUCUGGAACCUCAUACGCUGAAUGAGUGUAAACGCGUCCACAGGUGCUUUCGUUAGAGCGCAGCGCGGCGACGGAAAAACUACAGAGGUUCGUACGGUUAGGCAGUAGUCUUCAUCGGGUACAGCUCGAGGUACGUUCACGCUUUGCUGUGCCGUUGUACUGUUCAGUCCAUAUAAAUCAAGGUUGCUGGCUCUUCGUGGCGAGUGCGCGUGCUUCGAGGUCUUGAUUUGUCGACGCCAGGUACUAUCCUGCGCGCUGUAGAGCGUGUUGCUUUUUUCUGAUAUCGCAGCGGAACGGAGUAACUGGCCCCGUCGAAUAGUUCGCGUUUACCGAAAGGUGUCAUGGUGAAGAAAGCGGCUCCAGUCCGCGGAACGAACGCCAAAGCUUAUCGCUGGAAUCUAAGGUGAGACGGACGCUAGCAUGACGAAUGCUGCCCGUCCAAAGCGUUAUGUUCAGAGCAGUGAAUGCUGGUCCGUGGAUACCGGUACACCCUAUAUGACGUUAUUGUUUUUUCCUCGACGGUAUGCUACGCAACUAAUGGAUCCUGUGAAUUGGGGAAAGGCCAGAAAAAACUCUAUGCUGUCACUGCUGCUGAUGCUAAAAAUUGUCUUGCGGAUGCAAGUUAGUCAUUCUACGGUCAGCAGGUGGUGGAUGAAGCGCCCGUCUCGAACUCCCUGGGUUGAAUGUCGGGCAUCGCAAACAGAACGCACCAAACUGUAUACGCGUGACUGUCCUGUCGUAAAUCAAUUUCACUCC